This is an RNA transcript of Aegilops tauschii subsp. strangulata, 3833 nucleotides long. RefSeq lists it as uncharacterized. Lineage: Eukaryota; Viridiplantae; Streptophyta; Magnoliopsida; Poales; Poaceae. The record is from RefSeq and is a predicted model, not a curated record.
CCUCUUAUGCUCUGUCUGCUCUGUCUGUCUGUAUAAUUCCAAGCAGAGUCAGGUUAAAUCAAGAGACAAAACAUCAGACCUUCUCACACAUCACUUGCUAUGCACACAAAUCGCUAUGUAUGUAGUGUAGUACUUGUGGACUGGUUCAAGUACAACAAAAAAUGGUUAAAAUUUUAAACGAAGGCAUUUCUGAACCAGAUGACACAUACUGGGCGCUGAAAUUGCCGGAGGACAUGAAAUGAAAGCAUCGUUGUUUCCCUCUUUGAUAGAGAAACAAGGGAGCUUCUACGGCAAUACAAGGCUUGGCUGAAAUGCAAAAGCAUUUCAGGUGAAGCACUACAUACACAAGAAUUUUAUAGUAGCUCAAGUGCAUAUAAAGUUUUAAUUUACAGCUAGACCUUGCUAGAGAUGACAGGAUUAGAUCAACUGGACCCGCCAUACAUCUAAUCUAACAUAUAAAGCCUCCUAGACUACCCGCGUAACUGGAGGCAUCGAGCGCGCAAGAAGUUUUUGACCGCCCGAUCAAAUUACCGGUGGAGCGACAGUGUUCUUUUUGGCCGCUGGCGUCUGCCCAGCCGUCGGUUUGUUUUCAUGUCCUUGGCCGCUUCAGCAGAGGAUGACGGGUGGGGUCGUGAGACCAUGGGGGCCAGCGACCAGAGGUUGGGUUUCUCUCGGUACUACGUGAAGGUUGACAGAGGGUGGGCUGUUUCUGAUUGGCUAAGGGCGAAGCACGCGAACCCUAGCCCCAAUCCACAACCCCCACGCCGCUCCCUCCUCCCUCCCUCAGCCGCCUCCAUGCUCCCUCCCACCUUCUCCUCCUCCUCCUUCUCCGCCUAGGAGCCUCGCCGCCGACGGCUACUCCUCCACCGCCUCGCCUCUUCCUCCUUCUCGCCUUCCCAUCGCUCGCGCGCAGGUCACCCGACGGCAGGGGUGGUCAUGAAGGCUUCCCAGACUGACGGAGGAGCACGCCGCCGCCGCAGGCCGCCCGUCCCGACGCGCGUCCGCAUCCGCCCCGACGCAGCCUGGCCGAUCUUUCUCGGGAGGCAGCGAGAGUUGCAGGCGCCGCGGUUGGCGUGCACGCGCUGCUCAACUGGGUCGUCGUGGCCAGGCUCUGCCGCGGCCUCCUGGGCGCGGCCAUGGUCGGCAACGCCUCCUGGUGACUCAUCAACGCGGCUCAGUUUGUGUACGUCGUCGGCGGCUCCUUCCCGGAGGCGUGGACGGGGUUCUCGCGCAAGGCGUUCGCCAGCCUCGGCGGCUUCAUCAGGCUCUGCCUCACGUCGGCAGUUAUGCUCUGGUUUUUACUUCCGUUGCUUCCUGGUCUAAUUAGUAUAUACAAACGCUUUGGGUCGUACUUCCGUUGCUUCCUAAUCUAAUUAGUAUCUACAGACGAAAUUCUUUCAUCACCCAUCAGCGCUUCUGUUUCCUUCUGAGUAGGAGUGAUUUCUGUGCUGCAGCUUAGAGAUGUGGUACUACACGGCAGUAAUUGAUGGCACGGCCGAGCAAGAGGAUUCCGGUGCUGUGCACGCACCUGAUCGGGUGGUCGUCAUUUUCUCCGCCUUGGGCAGCACCAGUUGAGCUAUAGUUUGUAGGGGUUGUACGCUCCAUCGUCUAAAAUAAAUCUAGCCAACAGGUGGUUUAGAGGCAUUUUGUGGUGCCACUAUUUUCUUUCAGGUUUAGGCACUUUGACUCUACUAACUUUAGCCCGGUUUGUAUCAUUAGAUUGCACGCUGCCUUUCAUUGAUGUAUUUACAAGCUAUAGACAAUUGCAGAUCAACAUGUUCAAAGUUUUAUCAUCUUAUGUUUUGCUGCCAAUUUCUAUGUUCACUUCAGUAAUGUCUAAUUUGGUGUUCUUUUAUUCCUUCUGUACUGAUGCUAUUCAAUACAACCUUCAUGUGCACCUUGACUUACAUCGAUAAUCUUGCACGUAAUUCCCUCUUUUUUAUUGAUGUGUGGUUUUAUCGUUGUGAUUAGUUCCCUCUCUUUUUACUUUUUCAUGUCAGGUACUACAUGUACUUUUUGUGAUGGCAAGGGUAAAUUAGCAGCCAAUUUUGGUGCUAGCCAGAUCAAAGAUUUAUGUCCUAAAAAUGAUUUGCUCGGCUUCAUGCAAUUGAAUUGUUAUCACAUAUUUACGAGCAAGCUCAUAUUUAUAUCUCCAUGAUCUCUUAACAGCGAGAAAAGGGCUUACUGCUCCCCUCUAAACUCAUAUAUUUAUUGAUAAGUGCUGCAGUUUAUGUAUCUAUUUCUCUCUAGAGCUAGCUGAGUGGUCAACACUGAGGAAGAUGGGGAAGACAGAGCCAGCGAGGAAGAUGGCUCAGCCCUGCCACCGAUGCCCACCGGCCACUCCCGUCGGUCGCCAUCGUAGGAGGGGCGCACCAUCGAGGAGCAGCAGGGGAGGAGAAGAGGAUACACCGCCGGACUCCCUCUUCACUUUAUGGCCGCAUCUCCCCCGUCCGUGUACAAUUUAUUCUAGUGCUCGACUCGGUGUUCGUCUCAACAAAACCUAACAUGUCGGUGCGAAAUUCUGCUAGCCAGCUUGACCAUUUGCUUUGGAAGGAGUAAUUCAACUCAGAAAGGACAAAUGAUUGGCGACUAUUUUUUCCCUACAAUCUCUUUAGGUUCAGUGGACAUGUAUGCUGAAUAUCCCCUCACUAGACAAGAUUGGAUUUUAAUCUAUACAAGCCAUCCUCUCAGCUGCUCAGUGUCGUGUCUCUCUAGACACAGGUGAAUGCACUGGACUUUAUGAGAUCGAGGCCACCAACGGCAUAUGCCAAGGGCGUCCAUUGAUUACCUGCCCAAGGUCUGGAUUCACCGAGGAGGUACAACCGGACACUUGGUCGGCUGCCUGCUGGUCUGGAAACUACACAAUAUCUCUGAAACCCACUAUCCUCUAAUGCAUGAAUCUCUAUGCUCAGUUGGGCUACAACUAAUUUAUCAUCGUUUCAUCUUAUUCUAUAAUGCAAACAUCAUGUUUUUUCAUCGAGAGAAAGAACAUUAAGAAAAAAUUAUCAUUCUAUUGUAGCAAUAGCGAUUGUACAAAUAGCGGUACUGUGUUUGGUCGGUUGUUCUUGUGGCUUCCUGGCCAUGGGCACUUUACUGCUUUGUUCCAAAAAAAACCUGGUAUGUUUAUUCUGCUGGUACAGCUACUCUUUGGCUGGGACAUUUUGGCUUGGAAUAACAUAAAUGAACCUAAAAUUUCUUAUUAUUUUAUACCACCUUUUGUAUUUAUGUCCUUGUGCACACCAUCUGGAUGCUUUGAAAGUAUUUACCCAGCUUUCUUUUGAUUUGAGUUGUCUUUAUGUCAAGGACUAUUACAUAGAAUUAAGAAAGGCCAUAGUUAACCAGAAUAACAACUGCGGCAUUUCCUUGCAGAAAAUCUAUAAUGUUAUUUGCAGUGGUGAUGAUAGCGGGUCUUCCGAAUCGCUUCCUCAGCCUAACAACGCAGCCUACAAACCAACUUUUAUCAACAUCAGUAAUGAUGCUGGCCCUUCGCACCGUCGCCUGAAAGCCAAGAAAAAGAAAAGAAAAAGGAGCACACAUUGCAUGGUACAAAACCGUCUACCAUUACCGUUGUCAUGCUAUUAUGCCUAAUUUUAUUUGCCUGCCUAUUCAUACUAAUCUUUCAAGCCCUCUUCAUGAUUAUCAUCAUACAACACCUACAACUAAAUCCAUAAAACCUAAGAAGGCUGAACACAAGGAUUACAUAACCCGUACGAUCAAACAAUGUUUUCAUUUGCUCUACUAAUACCAGUACAUGCAUAUGCUUACACCAACCAUUUUAUAUACCAUUGAAUAGGGGCACCAGGCACUAUCUACUUUCUAAGUUUUGAUAGUCA